RNAcentral lists this ribosomal RNA (333 nucleotides) under Triticum aestivum (bread wheat). Its description in RNAcentral is "partial small subunit ribosomal RNA". The record is from RNAcentral. Lineage: Eukaryota; Viridiplantae; Streptophyta; Magnoliopsida; Poales; Poaceae.
AUGACCAAUGCCAUCCUAACUGACCAGUCGUCUUGCAUAAUUAACUUUAGUAUAAAGCGUGAGCACUGCCGCGGGCUCUUCCCAUCAAGAUCGAUACGCUCGCCACCGUUCUAUUGUGCAGAGCAUGGUUUCUUUCUUUCGGCGCUCGCUAAAACUGAGCCAUUCAACUUUUUUGGUCUCUUAAUAAAGAAGCUAGAAGGCAAUGGCCCACUAAGGGGGACAAUAGAUUAUGAGUUGGAGGUAACGGCAAGGCGGUCGUCCGAGUUUGCCUCCAUAUCGAGUAUCUCAACAACCACCGACAUUAGACAAGCUUUUGGAUGCAGGAUUCCUUAG